Molecule: ribosomal RNA, 861 nt
Filed under: uncultured archaeon
Lineage: Archaea
Description: bacterial SSU rRNA
Rfam family: Archaeal small subunit ribosomal RNA
Source: RNAcentral
CACCCGCAGCUCGAGUGGUGGUCACUUUUAUUGAGCCUAAAGCGUUUGUAGCCGGUUUUGCAAAUCUUCAGAUAAAUUCCUCUGCUUAACAGAUGAUCUUCUGAAGAGACUGCGAGACUUGGGACCGGGUGAGGUUGAAGGUACUUCCGGGGUAGGGGUAAAAUCCUGUAAUCCUGGAAGGACGACCGGUGGCGAAGGCGUUCAACUAGAACGGAUCCGACGGUGAGGAACGAGGGCUAGGGUAGCAAACCGGAUUAGAUACCCGGGUAGUCCUAGCUGUAAACACUGCCCACUUGGUGUUGCCCCUCCGAUGAGGGGAGGCAGUGCCGGAGCGAAGGUGUUAAGUGGGCCGCUUGGGGAGUAUGGUCGCAAGGCUGAAACUUAAAGGGAUUGGCGGGGGAGCACCGCAACGGGAGGAGCGUGCGGUUUAAUUGGAUUCAACGCCGGAAAACUCACCGGGAGCGACCUUUGGAUGAGAGUCAGCCUGAUGAGCUUACUCGAUAGAAGGAGAGGUGGUGCAUGGCCGUCGUCAGCUCGUACCGUAGGGCGUUCACUUAAGUGUGAUAACGAGCGAGACCUCCAUCUCUAAUUGCUAACGUGCAUUCGCGUGCACGCGCACUUUAGAGGGACCGCCAGUGCUAAACUGGAGGAAGGAGGGGUCGACGGCAGGUCAGUACGCCCCGAAUCUCCCGGGCAACACGCGCGCUACAAAGGGCAGGACAAUGAGUUGCCACCUCGAAAGGGGGAGCUAAUCUCGAAACCUGUUCGUAGUUAGGAUUGAGGGCUGUAACUCGCCCUCAUGAAUGUGGAUUCCGUAGUAAUCGCGGGUCAACAGCCCGCGGUGAAUAUGCCCCUGCUCCU